This 253-nucleotide ribosomal RNA is filed under the name uncultured bacterium. Its description in RNAcentral is "partial 16S ribosomal RNA". It matches the Rfam family "Bacterial small subunit ribosomal RNA", at positions 524 to 776 of the family's 1533-position model. The record is from RNAcentral.
UACGUAGGGACCGAGCGUUGUCCGGAUUCCUUGGGCGUAAAGAGCUCGUAGGCGGCCACUCAAGUCGAAUGUGAAACCUCGAGGCUUAACCUCGAGCCUGCAUUCGAUACUGGGUGGCUAGAGUCUGGUAGGGGGAUCUGGAAUUCCUGGUGUAGCGGUGGAAUGCGCAGAUAUCAGGAGGAACACCGGUGGCGAAGGCGGGAUCCUGGGCCAGUACUGACGCUGAGGAGCGAAAGCGUGGGGAGCAAGCAGG